Molecule: long non-coding RNA, 538 nt
Organism: Hermetia illucens (black soldier fly)
Lineage: Eukaryota; Metazoa; Arthropoda; Insecta; Diptera; Stratiomyidae
Exons: 2
Source: RefSeq, a predicted model, not a curated record
CGUUAAAUUUUGAAAAUCAACGAAAAAGGCCAAGAAGUCCACUUGAGCACUGAGGUUUGCGCGCGAAUUUCAAACUGCAUCCAGUACUUGCGUGGUGCAUACUUGCGGUGCUGAGAAUGAGUACUCCGGCAAAUUGCAAUGAGUAUUGUUAAUGGACUUCCACACGGCGACCAUAGUGGUCCGCUGGAGCAGCUGGCUCUGGUUUGGGUCGUAGCCAUUGGCCAGUUACCUUUUACUGCCUGGAGAGGACGCUAGAUUUCCUGCUGAUGGUUACUUCCGACCAAUGUAAUAAUACAUUGAACCGCACCACAGUACAGGUCAUAAAUCUUCGGCUUGAUCUUAUUGCGUCAGUCGCGCAAAUGCGUUUAUUAUGUAUGAAAGUUUCGCGUUAUGCUUGCGGCGUCUCGAAUUCGUCAGUUCAACCGAGUUUACCUUCAUUUUUUACGAUUCCGUAUUAAAUGUCUCAACUCACAGAACUGUUGGUAAUUAACAGAUUUUUUCGAAAGUGUUGACGUUAUAAAGAUUAAUUAGAUGUGUA